CACACUCGUGGCGAAUAGCUCAGUAACACGUGGCCAAACUACCCUUCGGAGCACAAUACCCUCGGGAAACUGAGGCUAAUAGUACAUACCAUACCACCACUGGAAUGAGUGGUAUGCCAAACGCUCCGGCGCCGAAGGAUGUGGCUGCGGCCGAUUAGGUAGACGGUGGGGUAACGGCCCACCGUGCCAAUAAUCGGUAUGGGUCAUGAGAGUGAGAACCCAGAGACGGAAUCUGAGACAAGAUUCCGGGCCCUACGGGGCGCAGCAGGCGCGAAACCUUUACACUGCACGACAGUGCGAUAGGGGGAUCCCAAGUGCACAGGCAUAGCGCCUGUGCUUUUCGGUACCCUAAGGCGGUACCAGAAUAAGGGCUGGGCAAGACCGGUGCCAGCCGCCGCGGUAAUACCGGCAGCCCAAGUGAUGGCCGAUCUUAUUGGGCCUAAAGCGUCCGUAGCUGGCCGCGCAAGUCCAUCGGGAAAUCCACCUGCUCAACAGGUGGGCGCCCGGUAGAAACUGCGUGGCUUGGGACCGGAAGGCGCGACGGGUACGUCCGGGGUAGGAGUGAAAUCCCGUAAUCCUGGACGGACCGCCGAUGGCGAAAGCACGUCGCGAGAACGGAUCCGACAGUGAGGGACGAAAGCCAGGGUCUCGAACCGGGUUAGAUACCCGUCCAGGCUUGUCCGUAACAAUGUCUGCUAAGUGUGGGUCCCGCUACGAGUAGGUGCUGUCCCGGAGGUUGCCCCCUAGCCGACCGCCUUUGCAGUCGUCCGCAAGAUGAACGCUACCGGGAAUGACGGGUAGGUCUACAGCCUCGGGGCCGGGCCUUAUGGGCCUAU
This 836-nucleotide ribosomal RNA is filed under the name Halorubrum sp. Its description in RNAcentral is "bacterial SSU rRNA". It matches the Rfam family "Archaeal small subunit ribosomal RNA", at positions 71 to 914 of the family's 1478-position model. Lineage: Archaea; Methanobacteriati; Methanobacteriota; Halobacteria; Halobacteriales; Haloferacaceae. The record is from RNAcentral.